UUUUCCCGUCAAAAAUUGUCUGUGUAAAUUGUUCGAUGUACAUAUUUCUCUUCUAAAAUUGCUUCUUCUUUUUGUGGACACUAUACAUAAUUAUGGAGAAUCCAGAUAAUUUGUUAGCUUAUAGAGUGAUUCAUGUCUUUAGAACCCGGUCUCCUUGCAAAAGAUUAUUUUCUCAAAUUUUUAUUAUGUGGAUUUUUGAAUUCUAAUCUAGAGGAGGGAUCUCCGGGAUCUAAUGAUUUGAAAAGCACCGCAUAUGGAUCCAGGCAAUUGACAACAAUGUUAAAUUUUCUUCAGUUUCGAAAGAUGAAAGAUCGAUAUUAUUGAAGAGAAAAAGUGGCUGAUUUAUCGUUGUCUUCACAUUUUCGCCGCUGUCAUCACUCAUCGCCCAUGUUUCAGCUGUAAUACCUGAAGAACAGGAUGGAUGUUGGUGAAGAAGAGCAGCUUGUGUUUUUUUUUCAAAUAAGUUAGUGUGAUUCCCGAUCUCCGCAAAAGUGCAAGCAAGAAGGUGGAAAUGCAACAAAAGUGACGGGACUUCAGUUUUCAUCUUCAGGCGGGCAGUGUGUUGACCUAAUUGGUACGUUGAGAACAAUAUAGACGCGGUUCAAAUAGCAGGUCAGAAUACCAUUAGGAAUUAAAAUUUACAAAUAUUUUAUUUGUUUCGGGAGUGAUAAUUUUAUUUUCUCAAAACCGCGAGUGAUUUUUUGUUUUUUCUUUAAAUAUAUUUUUCCGUAAUUUUUUUAAAAAUUAUUUUUGUUUCGGAAAUAUUUAAAUUUAAGUAAAUUGCGUCAUAAAAAUUUUAAAUAUUUUUCCAAAAUUUUAAUUUUUUUUUAAAUUCUGACUUUCACGUGAUCUCGGUAGUUUUCGCAUUUUCUUAAAACCGCGUCCGUUCCUUAAGAAGUAUUAUUUAACAUAAAAUAUUAUUAUUGUGAGUUCCGGAGUGUUUGACUUUUUUGAAAUCGCGUGUGAAAUUUUUUUGGAAAAUAAAUUUAAGUACCACUCCAGAAUGGAAAUCAGGGACGGUCAAAUGG
Long non-coding RNA from Leptopilina boulardi, 1028 nucleotides. RefSeq lists it as uncharacterized. The record is from RefSeq and is a predicted model, not a curated record. The transcript is spliced from 5 exons. Lineage: Eukaryota; Metazoa; Arthropoda; Insecta; Hymenoptera; Figitidae.